GAUGAACGCUGGCGGCGUGCCUAAUACAUGCAUGUCGAGCGAACUGAUUAGAAGCUUGCUUCUAUGACGUUAGCGGCGGACGGGUGAGUAACACGUGGGCAACCUGCCUGUAAGACUGGGAUAACUUCGGGAAACCGAAGCUAAUACCGGAUAGAAUCUUCUCCUUCAUGGGAGAUGAUUGAAAGAUGGUUUCGGCCAUCACUUACAGAUGGGCCCGCGGUGCAUUAGCUAGUUGGUGAGGUAACGGCUCACCAAGGCAACGAUGCAUAGCCGACCUGAGAGGGUGAUCGGCCACACUGGGACUGAGACACGGCCCAGACUCCUACGGGAGGCAGCAGUAGGGAAUCUUCCGCAAUGGACGAAAGUCUGACGGAGCAACGCCGCGUGAGUGAUGAAGGCUUUCGGGUCGUAAAACUCUGUUGUUAGGGGAGAACAAGUACGAGAGUAACUGCUCGUACCUUGACGGUACCUAACCAGAAAGCCACGGCUAACUACGUGCCAGCCGCCGCGGUAA
This 514-nucleotide ribosomal RNA is filed under the name uncultured bacterium. RNAcentral's name for it is "partial 16S ribosomal RNA". It matches the Rfam family "Bacterial small subunit ribosomal RNA", at positions 28 to 523 of the family's 1533-position model. The record is from RNAcentral.